UACGUAGGGUGCAAGCGUUGUCCGGAAUUAUUGGGCGUAAAGAGCUCGUAGGCGGUCUGUCGCGUCGGCUGUGAAAACCCGGAGCUCAACUCCGGGCCUGCAGUCGAUACGGGCAGACUGGAGUUCGGCAGGGGAGACUGGAAUUCCUGGUGUAGCGGUGAAAUGCGUAGAUAUCAAGUGGAACACCAGUGGCGAAGGCGAGUCUCUGGACAUUUCCUGACGCUGAGGCACGAAGGCCAGGGGAGCAAACGGG
RNAcentral lists this ribosomal RNA (253 nucleotides) under uncultured bacterium. RNAcentral's name for it is "partial 16S ribosomal RNA". It matches the Rfam family "Bacterial small subunit ribosomal RNA", at positions 524 to 776 of the family's 1533-position model. The record is from RNAcentral.